Equus caballus (horse) is the source of this 2901-nucleotide long non-coding RNA. The record is from Ensembl. Lineage: Eukaryota; Metazoa; Chordata; Mammalia; Perissodactyla; Equidae.
ACUGUCAGCUGGAUCACAAAGGAGAAUUUCCCCCCGCAUAUCUGAUACUCUUUGGUCACUGAAGUUCAGCUACUUUUCCUUAUCUGGAAUCCUUCAGUGGCUAUUUAUUCCCUUCCACCUGUGACUAAAUGGACCUUUAAUCAAUUUGCAUCGUUUAGAAGCAAAGCUACUCUGGAAAGGAUGGUGUUCCUGUGCACUUAGCGCUGGUGGAGAUAUACUGCAGCCUUCCAGGGAGCCGCCGGGUUCAUAAUGGAAGGCAUGACAGGCACUUUAUGACCCUGAAGCGCUGUGAUUACAAGCUCUGAGCCUGUGUGAGGCAGGUAGGGAAGAUCCAUAUGUCAGGACAGCACAGCCAGGCCCCUCGUUGGAGCACUGCUAUCAUUUGGCUGGAAGCUGCAGAGCAGUUCCAAAGAACCAGCUCGGGACAGUAAAUGACUCCCACAGUCAAACUGAGCAUGCUCACCUCUCUGGUUGCCACACAUCGAUGUGCAGGCUGGUCCCUGGAUCCCCAACAGGUCUGACUGGUGCAGUUACCUAGCUUGCGUGGGCUGGAGUGAAUUUGGAUUUCCCAGUCUUCCAGGUGAUUAACCUGAUCUGCUGUGUUCUCCUUUUCUCCAGUUACGGCAGACUGUGAUAUGCAGAGGGAAGCAACACUUCUAGGGAAGAAUGUGGUCCAGACCACGUGGAGGUGGAAAUCACCAAGGCCUUGACUCCUCCUUCCCACUCAUUCUUCCAUGUCCUCACCUGUGAACUGGGAGAAUUCGGAACUGAAGUAAGUAAAGAUGGUGGAGUUCUUGAAGACAGCGGAAUCACUGGCCAGGAGGAACUCACUUCAGCGAUGGAGAGGACACUGAUGGAAACGGCACCCGGGCUCAGCGGCAGGCAGGAGAUGGCGAGGCAGGUCUGGAUGGAGUGGGCUUGACUGCCCACUCCCAGGGGCUCAGUCUCUGUCUCCUCACUGAUGUUUGACAUUUAUUUAAAAAUAGACAAAGCCUUCUGUUCUUCAAUCAGAGAUCAAAUUUAAAAUGCAAAUAUCCCCAGUGUUUAAAUUAACAUUAUGAUGCAAAUGCUUUGCGUCAAGUCCUUUACUUAAUGCAGGCUUUGAUAGAACAAUGAGCGGAAACACUGAAUGCAGGAAGAGAACAGAAAAGAAGUCUCCCUUUUAGGCCAACAAUGGAUUUUUUCCCUUUAUAAGCCUUGAUUACUUCUGUUUCAGAAUAAUAAUAAAUCAACAGAAUCAAAAAAGCAAUUUACACUUGUAGAUUGGGUUGUAGUCUACAAAAUAACUUCACCUCCAUUGCCUAGUUCAUUUCCCAGAACGAUGCUGUCAAGUAGACACAGUUCCCACUUGACUGGUAAAGAAAACCAGUUUCAUGGAGGCAAAGUGAGGACCUCAAGGUAUCACAGGUAGUGAAUAAUGGAAUCAGAUCUCAAAACUUGGUCAGAGGUCCAUUUAUUCAGCAAAUAAUCAUAAAGGACUGACUCUAGGCCAGACUUAUGCUAGGUGCUGGGGAUAAAAUGAUGGGUAAAACCCACACAGACUGUCCUUAUGGACCUUAGAUAUUAUUAAGGAGAUAAGUGCUAAUCAACUAAUGACAGAAAGAAAUGUAGCGUUACAGCUGUGAUGAGAGGAACGGAGGUGAUUACAAGAACUGACCCGGACAGAGCAGCCCGAGCGGAAGGGAGAGUUCUCCAGGGAGAGAGGCAGGGUGAAAGCUUCCAGGCAGAGGGAGCUCACACAAGCAAGAGCCAGCACAUGCGUUCCAGAAACUCUAAGAAGGCCAGCAUGGCAGCAGGCAGAGAGUGAGGGAGCAAAUGGUGCAGACAGUUUGGGGAGGUAGGUGGGAGCUAGAUCACGCGGGGUCUGGUUUGCAAUGACAUGGACUUCUGCUAAGCUCAUUGUCUUUCUGCCAAGAACAACUGAUGCCACUAAAAUGUUUUAAGCAGGGGGAUGAUUCUGAGAAGUAUCCAUGAUUGAAAAGCAUUGUCAUGGGCAAGGGCGUCAUAUUCCCACCCCACAAACAUGUCAAAUCCAAAUGGACAUCUACAGUGGGGAGCCACAGCCCUGCCGCUUGCCGCAGCUGUCCAAAUCUGAGGGCUCUGUACCUGACCCAAGGACACUAUCCCUUCCUUUUUCCAGCCAGUCAAACAUCUCUAGAAAGCCUGCCAUGUAAGGUUCUGUGCUGGGCACCACUACAAACAAUGGUGUCUCACACUCAGACUCUGCUCUGGGAGAGGAGCCAAGGAGACAGAGAACUCCAGAAAAAGGUGGAGAAGUAAUCACAGAAUGCCUGAGCUGGAGUCUUUCCUCAAGAUGCUAGAUACUUGGCUUCCAUUGUUUUCUGACACUUGUUACAGCAGAGACGUCAGAGACCACGCUGAUUCAUUCUUUUUACGCAAUCUCUCUUUUCACUCUUUAGACAUAGGUGAGCAUUAUUCCUGUAUCCUUGCAAUUCAAAAAUUUGACUCUGAGUCAGGUUGAUGCGGGUUCAGUGAGCUGAGGAGUCAAAGGAAAGAUUUCUUGGACUCUCAAGAUCUGGAAGUAGUGCUCCUUUAUUCAGGGAAUAGCAUGGAGUAGCAUGGAGAUAGGACCCACGGGCAGCAAAGAGCUGCAGCAUGGGGACAGGACCCAUGGGCAGUGAAGAGCUGCAAUGGGUUGAGGGUUAGAGCUAAAUUUAUAAGGCAUAGAUAUGUGAGUUAUUUCUUUACAAGACAAAGGAAAGAUCAUGAAAAAAAAUCGUUAAAAUGGUAUCAGUGCAGGUGGGGUCUGGUUGUCGGGUGGUCCUACAUCUUUGGAUACAAAUCAGGUCAGAUCAGGUCAGGAUGUCCUAUGCUUCCCAGAGGAUGAUAUAGAUCGAUAUAGGGCAGGACACCUGGGGCUUCUCCCCCUGGGGCAGCCUU